CAGCAGAGAUGCUUUAGUGCCUUCGGGAACUCUGAGACAGGUGCUGCAUGGCUGUCGUCAGCUCGUGUUGUGAAAUGUUGGGUUAAGUCCCGCAACGAGCGCAACCCUUAUCCUUUGUUGCCAGCACGUAAUGGUGGGAACUCAAAGGAGACUGCCGGUGAUAAACCGGAGGAAGGUGGGGAUGACGUCAAGUCAUCAUGGCCCUUACGAGUAGGGCUACACACGUGCUACAAUGGCGCAUACAAAGAGAAGCGACCUCGCGAGAGCAAGCGGACCUCAUAAAGUGCGUCGUAGUCCGGAUUGGAGUCUGCAACUCGACUCCAUGAAGUCGGAAUCGCUAGUAAUCGUAAAUCAGAAUGUUACGGUGAAUACGUUCCCGGGCCUUGUACACACCGCCCGUCACACCAUGGGAGUGGGUUGCAAAAGAAGUAGAUAGCUUAACCUUCGGGAGGGCGUUUACCACUUUGUGAUUCAUGACUGGGGUGAAGUCGUAACAAGGUAGGCGUAGUGCU
This 512-nucleotide ribosomal RNA is filed under the name uncultured bacterium. RNAcentral describes it as "bacterial SSU rRNA". It matches the Rfam family "Bacterial small subunit ribosomal RNA", at positions 998 to 1509 of the family's 1533-position model. The record is from RNAcentral.